Molecule: ribosomal RNA, 460 nt
Filed under: uncultured bacterium
Lineage: Bacteria
Description: partial 16S ribosomal RNA
Rfam family: Bacterial small subunit ribosomal RNA
Source: RNAcentral
CCUACGGGAGGCAGCAGUGAGGAAUAUUGGUCAAUGGACGAGAGUCUGAACCAGCCAAGUAGCGUGAAGGAUGACUGCCCUAUGGGUUGUAAACUUCUUUUAUAUGGGAAUAAAACGUUCCACGUGUGGGUUUUUGUAUGUACCAUAUGAAUAAGGAUCGGCUAACUCCGUGCCAGCAGCCGCGGUAAUACGGAGGAUCCGAGCGUUAUCCGGAUUUAUUGGGUUUAAAGGGAGCGUAGGUGGCUUGUUAAGUCAGUUGUGAAAGUUUGGGGCUCAACCGUAAAAUUGCAGUUGAAACUGGCAGUCUUGAGUACAGUAGAGGUAGGCGGAAUUCGUGGUGUAGCGGUGAAAUGCUUAGAUAUCACGAAGAACCCCGAUUGCGAAGGCAGCUCACUGGACUGCAACUGACACUGAGGCUCGAAAGUGUGGGUAUCAAACAGGAUUAGAUACCCCAGUAGUC